CGGACGGGUGAGUAACACGUGGAUAACCUACCUAUAAGACUGGGAUAACUUCUGGAAACCGGAGCUAAUACCGGAUAAUAUAUUGAACCGCAUGGUUCAAUAGUGAAAGACGGUUUUGCUGUCACUUAUAGAUGGAUCCGCGCCGCAUUAGCUAGUUGGUAAGGUAACGGCUUACCAAGGCAACGAUGCGUAGCCGACCUGAGAGGGUGAUCGGCCACACUGGAACUGAGACACGGUCCAG
Molecule: ribosomal RNA, 241 nt
Filed under: uncultured Staphylococcus sp.
Lineage: Bacteria; Bacillati; Bacillota; Bacilli; Caryophanales; Staphylococcaceae
Description: partial 16S ribosomal RNA
Rfam family: Bacterial small subunit ribosomal RNA
Source: RNAcentral